CAGCAGCCGCGGGAAUACGUAGGUGGCAAGCGUUGUCCGGAAUUAUUGGGCGUAAAGGGCUCGCAGGCGGUUUCUUAAGUCUGAUGUGAAAGCCCCCGGCUCAACCGGGGAGGGUCAUUGGAAACUGGGAAACUUGAGUGCAGAAGAGGAGAGUGGAGUUCCACGUGUAGCGGUGAAAUGCGUAGAGAUGUGGAGGAACACCAGUGGCGAAGGCGACUCUCUGGUCUGUAACUGACGCUGAGGAGCGAAAGCGUGGGGAGCGAACAGGAUUAGAUACCCCUGUAGUCCCUGUCUCUUAUAA
RNAcentral lists this ribosomal RNA (301 nucleotides) under uncultured bacterium. RNAcentral's name for it is "partial 16S ribosomal RNA". It matches the Rfam family "Bacterial small subunit ribosomal RNA", at positions 509 to 809 of the family's 1533-position model. The record is from RNAcentral.